AUCUCAUUGACAUUUGGCCGUUAUUUGAAUUGUAUAUAUUUAAUUAUCACCUAGUUUCAUCUUUAAAUUGUUUGUGGACACGGAGUGAUUAACUCAGCGAACACUCAGCUAAUUCACAAUUAAAUAGCUUCAAGAAGAAUUAGGCACAACGCUGACUUUUCAUACAAGAGAAUUAUCAUUUGGUCAACCAACUCCACAGUUUUCACUUUAACGUGGUCUGCAGGUGCCAACAAGCAGCACUCAGCUGCCAGAGGGCUACGCAGAAGGUUAGUGAUGUAGGUAAGAUAGAAUGUAAGUCCUUCGGGACCACAGGACAGGGAAAGAACCCAGUAUGACUGCGUAAUAUCUCAUAAACUACUUGGGACCCAGGAGUCUUUGUGCCAGCUAUCUCCAUUACUGUUGUGAGGAUGCAAAUUUGGCAAACUAAUCAGCUGCACAGCUUCAGGCUGCUUCUGUAGCACCCCAAUUCUCUGUUGUAAGUAAACCAAUUGAAGUCUAUUGGUGUGAGGCAGACAACAAGCCAAGUUCACAUUGCUAAAAGGGUGCCUCAAACCAAAAUCCAGGCUAUUACAUUUUUGCACGAUUAUAUUGACGAUGCACAGACUUAAAAGAAAAUAAGGAAUCCUUAAGGCAGGUUACAGGCUUCUAGAAAACCCACAAAGUAAGACACACAUCUAAAACUAAGCACUGAUUUUUAAGGAAUUUGGGUGGGACCAAUUAGUUACAUGCUCGAUGUAUCUGAAAUAUAAUUGUAAGUAAAUAUGGCAUUUCUGCAGGGAAAAUGUCACCAGUGUUUGAAAUAAAAAGAUCGAGACAUUUUUAUUUAAGCACUCCCUUGUUGCUUUUAGUAAGUUUAGGAAAGAAAACAUUAAUUAAAGCUCUUGAGAGGUUUUUUUUAACCAAUAAGUAAAAAUAUAUUACAACUUGAAUUCAUGGUGACUUCCUCUGAAUUUAUUCAAAUCAAAGCCUGACAGAUUUGAAACACACACUUCUAAAGAACUGUGAAAAAUUGUUGCUUUAUCAUUUUCAAAGAACAGCAAAUGGCCAUAAUUUGUGAUGAUUGAAACAUGUUGCGGCACAGGCAGGCUAUUCUAAAAUAUUUCAAGCUCUGCACCAGAAAGUACAUAUCAUUUGGCUGAAAAAUGGCAGCAUUUUGACAAGUAUAAAGCAUUUUUCACAAAUUUCCAAUCUAAUUGUGCUUUUAAGCUUCAGCCUCUGUAAUUUUGCAAGAUGAGUUGUUCCAAUGAGCAAACAUAUGGUAGGGGAUUUGAAGCCACAUAGCUGGAGUGCAUCAUAGACUUAUCCCCUGUUUUACUGACACGAGUAUCCACGGUUGAAUUUGUCCACCCACCCAUUAAAAAAGGGAAGAAAGGGGUGUAAGUGGAUUACAACUGCCAAUCCGGACUAAACAGAGAACAAAAACUAUUAGAGGUUUUAAAAAACCUUGAGGCACUGAAAUGAUUUUUGUUUAUUUGCUUUCCAUGUUAAGUUAAAUAUCUGUCUACAUUAAUCAUUAAUGAACCUGUAGCAGCUUGCCCAAUAAACCUUCCUUAAUGAACAGCAGCGAGAGCAGUGUUAUCAUAACUGUGGCUCCGUUAACAAACAGAAAUAGGCCUUUCUACUCUGCUGAAUGCAAAGUUCUUAAAUAUUGGGGAGGAGCUGUGGAUCUGCUAUGGACUACCAAACCCAGUGGAAAAUGCUGCAAUAUGCUGUGGCAGAACUGAUGACAAGGAGGAAAGAUUUCUGGAAGAUGAAAAGCAAAUGCUCAAUUAUCAGCAAGAACCGGUAUAUUUGUUUUGCUCAAGCAUACUCUGAAGGUGAUAGUAAAUACUGGAAACAUCAUCAACAAUAACAUGAAGGGAAGAUAGACGCAAAAAGCUGGAGUCAUUCAGCAGGUCAGACAGCAUUUCAGGAGAAAAAAUAAUCUCUUCAGAAGAAGGAUCUCAACCCGAAAUGUCGCCUAUUCCUUUUCUCCAGAGAUACUGUCAGACCUGUUGAGUUACUCCAGCAUAUUGUGUCUAUCUUCGGUUUAAACCAGCAUCUGCAGUUCAUUCCUACCAAUAACACAAAGUGUCCACAAUGAUGUCUGUCUAUUUCCAUCCACAGAUGCAGUCUGACCUCCCUGAGUUCGUCCAGCAGUUUGUUUUUUACUUAAGAUUCGGUCUCUCGUGUCUGUACAACAUGGAUCAGGCCACCUG
Leucoraja erinaceus (little skate) is the source of this 2198-nucleotide long non-coding RNA. RefSeq lists it as uncharacterized. The record is from RefSeq and is a predicted model, not a curated record. Lineage: Eukaryota; Metazoa; Chordata; Chondrichthyes; Rajiformes; Rajidae. The transcript has 3 exons.